UCUUUUUCCUCCUAGAUUAGGGAAAAUUGAAAAUGUUACAGAACUAUUGAUUAGAUUCUUGUUCUUGAAGUUCUUACAUCCUGCUCUUCUGGAAGCCCUUCYAGGAGACAUUGAGGUGGUCUGUAUUCUGUCACCCUGCUGCAGGCUGUGAUGCUCACAUAGCYGUUGAYGGUGUUGAUGGGAAAGACGCUGCCCCAGCAGUACGCAGUCUGAAUUCCACUUAGCCCUUUGCCACAACAAGAGAAAGGCUUCUCCAGCAAUUCCUUCAAAGAUUUCAUACUGUGGUUUGUCCAUGCUGGUAAAAGACUUGGAGAAUCCCAAUAGCAUUGUGCACGUGCUGACAGGUUCUUCUUCGUGCUACAGGCCUACGUGAGCCCAGCUGAGCCAGGGCUAAAACGCCUGAGGAAUCCACCGGCAUCUUCCUUCCUUCACGCCACAGUCUAGGUACGGUAAUUACAUAACGUAGGCUAUCUGCUGAUUAUCACAAUGUAGAUGGUCACAACAUAGAUUAUUUGCUGAUUAUCACACUGUAGAGGACUGCUGCUGUGAAAUGAUAGACACUUGGGAGGAAUCUCAUCGCACUGUAAGAAGCUACUGACUUCACAGAAAACCCAACUUGAAUUUCACACCUCAUAGGCUCGCUUGCUAGAUCACACACGUUCUGAAUCUUUCAGAGCUACUUUUAGAUGCACUGGUAAGUAGUUGGGGCUAUCUCCUGUAUCACACUAAGACAUCUAAUUUCAGUGUGCAUUUUUUGAAUUUUUACCUGAAUUUACAUAUAUGGAUCUCUGUACCAGAAGAAAAUCCUGACUUUGGUGGGGUAUCCUAUAGAGAUGGCAUAUAAAUUGCUGUAAAAAGCCAGUGUCUGGUCUGUUGCUUAAAUUUUAAUAUUCUAGAUUUGAGAAUCAGAAGA
RNAcentral lists this long non-coding RNA (913 nucleotides) under Dromaius novaehollandiae (emu). RNAcentral's name for it is "lncRNA (ENSDNVG00000017204.1)". The record is from RNAcentral. Lineage: Eukaryota; Metazoa; Chordata; Aves; Casuariiformes; Dromaiidae.